UGGGGAAUUUUGGACAAUGGGCGCAAACCUGAUCCAGCAAUGCCGCGUGCAGGAUGAAGGCCUUCGGGUUGUAAACUGCUUUUGUACGGAACGAAACGGCUCUGGUUAAUACCUGGGGCUAAUGACGGUACCGUAAGAAUAAGCACCGGCUAACUACGUGCCGGCAGCCGCGGUAAUACGUAGGGUGCGAGCGUUAAUCGGAAUUACUGGGCGUAAAGCGUGCGCAGGCGGUGAUGUAAGACAGAUGUGAAAUCCCCGGGCUCAACCUGGGACCUGCAUUUGUGACUGCAUCGCUGGAGUGCGGCAGAGGGGGAUGGAAUUCCGCGUGUAGCAGUGAAAUGCGUAGAUAUGCGGAGGAACACCGAUGGCGAAGGCAAUCCCCUGGGCCUGCACUGACGCUCAUGCACGAAAGCGUGGGGAGCAAACA
Molecule: ribosomal RNA, 427 nt
Filed under: uncultured bacterium
Lineage: Bacteria
Description: bacterial SSU rRNA
Rfam family: Bacterial small subunit ribosomal RNA
Source: RNAcentral